Paramuricea clavata is the source of this 429-nucleotide non-coding RNA. The record is from the annotation of a GenBank genome assembly. NCBI's taxonomy places the organism in Eukaryota, Metazoa, Cnidaria, Anthozoa, Malacalcyonacea, Plexauridae.
CUACAAAUAUGUUCUAGUCAGCACAAUGACUGAUUUCCUAAACCGUGGAAGAUUUACUAAAAAUAAUGAAAUAGCACAAAUUAAUAUGUUAUACCUGUGUAAAUUCCAUGGAAAAAUCAGAUGCGAAUGCAGCAAGUUGAUGAUUUCUUUAGCUCUAAUCGAUUGACCUUUGCACAGAAAUUUGUUUGUAAAAUAAACGAAACAGGUUGAAUUCAACGAUUAUGAAGGCAACGAUGCAAUUUGAAUUUCUGCGCACGAUUUUGAUUGGUUAAAAAGCUCACUGCUGUGAUGUCAAAGGUGUAUGUUUGUCGUUUGUUCAAAUUUCGCUUUGGUUUAUUGGCGUUACAGAAUCAAAGCAAAAACGAAACUGUCGAUAAUAUGCUAGGUUGCCACACUAACAGGCAAUUCUGUUUUCAGCUGAAUUUUAUA